RNAcentral lists this ribosomal RNA (580 nucleotides) under uncultured Beauveria. Its description in RNAcentral is "eukaryotic LSU rRNA". It matches the Rfam family "Eukaryotic large subunit ribosomal RNA", at positions 52 to 657 of the family's 3401-position model. The record is from RNAcentral. Lineage: Eukaryota; Fungi; Ascomycota; Sordariomycetes; Hypocreales; Cordycipitaceae.
GGAGGAAAAGAAACCAACAGGGAUUGCCCCAGUAACGGCGAGUGAAGCGGCAACAGCUCAAAUUUGAAAUCUGGCCCUCGGGUCCGAGUUGUAAUUUGUAGAGGAUGCUUUUGGCGAGGUGCCUUCCGAGUUCCCUGGAACGGGACGCCAUAGAGGGUGAGAGCCCCGUCUGGUCGGACACCGAGCCUCUGUAAAGCUCCUUCGACGAGUCGAGUAGUUUGGGAAUGCUGCUCAAAAUGGGAGGUAUAUGUCUUCUAAAGCUAAAUAUUGGCCAGAGACCGAUAGCGCACAAGUAGAGUGAUCGAAAGAUGAAAAGCACUUUGAAAAGAGGGUUAAAAAGUACGUGAAAUUGUUGAAAGGGAAGCGCUUAUGACCAGACUUGCGCCCGGUGAAUCAUCCAGCGUUCUCGCUGGUGCACUUUGCCGGGCACAGGCCAGCAUCAGUUUGGCGCGGGGGAAAAAGGCUUCGGGAAUGUGGCUCCCUCGGGAGUGUUAUAGCCCGCUGCGUAAUACCCUGCGCCGGACUGAGGUACGCGCAUCGCAAGGAUGCUGGCGUAAUGGUCAUCAGCGACCCGUCUUGA